CUACUUCCUGCCUCCCCAGCAGCAUCAAAGAGAAAUAACUCCUCUAGAAUUACAAGCUGAGUUCUGCUUGGGACUGAGACUCCUUUCACCAGCAGUUCUGCUUGUCCGGGUACGUAAGCUGGCACUCUCAUCCCUGAGAGCUAUGAACCCCUACAGCAGCAGUCACAUGACGGAUGCAUGUAUCCUUUUGCACUCAAAAAAUCAGGCGUUGGGUACAAAAACUACACCAUGUAGCCACAUUCUUUAUGUCUUCAAGGAGACACUUCUGCAGUUGUCCUCAAGGCUCAGCAUUUCCCUGGCUGUGUCAUGUGGUAACUGCAGUCUAGAUGUUGGUCUAAUUGCCAGAAAAGAAGAUACAGAUAGAUCCUCAGCAAGCAGAGGCUUUCAGCAUCUUCAGUGACGAGAGAAUAAAAGCAUCCAGCUAAGAAAUCUGAAGACCACUGACCAAGUGAAACAUUUGAAGAAGGAUGAAUUAUCCAGAGAAAAUGCCCCAAGAAAAAGAGCAGAUUGGCCUAAUGGUAUAGCACAUUUCCAGAUAAAAUCUCAUAGUCUUCUCAAAUGUUUGUCUCUGCUGUUCUCUAAAGAUGUAUAUAGAAAAUGGUCUUUUAGCCGGGUGUUGGUGGCGCACGCCUUUAAUCCCAGCACUCGGGAGGCAGAGGCAGGUGGAUCUCUGUGAGUUCGAGACCAGGCUGGGCUCAAGAGCGAGUUCCAGGAUAAGCUCCAAAGCUACACAGAGAAACCCUGUCUCCAAAAACCAAAAAAAAAAAGAAAGAAAAUGGUCUUUUGUAAUCCCAAUUCAAUUAAAAAUUAAACUUGGCUCUCUCCUCCUCUAGACCCAAGCAUGCUUGUUAAAGGAAAUUCCAAAAUCUCUGUCUCAUGUCAGAAGAGUCACCUAGUAUGGGGCAGAAUAAAAACCAAAAUUCUAUUGCCACUAAUCUCAUAAUCCUUUGGUUUUAUUUUGACUCUUUAAAACUUUUCUUAAGGUAUAGAUAUUAUCUCAAAAUUUAUAAGAUUAAUAUAUAUAUGCAUACAUAUAUAUUAAUAUUGUGAUAUUAAUAGUCAUAUAGAGUACUAACUGAUUCUAGUAAUAGACUUCAUCUUGCUUCCUGUAUGUGAUUUCUGACCUGAGUCUGAAGCAGGUAACUAGGAACUACGUUUGUGUACCUCAGAUGUAUUUACUAGAUUGUGGUCCUUUAACCUCUCUGAUAUCUGCUGCACAAUGAUGUGGGAUUGAUGUGGGGUGUCCUUCUGUAUGCUCUUUUUUCUUUUCUGUAUGCUUUUAUUGGUUGAUAAAUAAAGCUACUUUGGCCAAUGGCAGGGCAGAAGAUAGCUAUGUGGGAAAGCCAAACUGAAUGCAGGGAGAAAGAAGGUCAGAAUCUAGAGGUGCCAUCCAGUCGCCUAAGGAACAGCAUGCCAGAGCACCACUGGUAAGCCAUGGGCCACAUGGUGGUACAUAAAUGAACAGAAAUGAGUUAAUUUAGAUGUAAGAGAUAGCCAGUAAUAAGCCUGAGCCAUUGGCCAAACAAUUAUGCUUGAUAUUAAGCCUCUGAGUGAUUAUUUUAUAAAUAGCUGAGAGACUGGGCAGGACACAGAAAAGCUUCAGCUACAGCAUAUGACAUUUAAAAUGUUUAAGUGUCCUGCAGUGAACCAUGACCAUCCCUUUGAAGUCUCCAAAAUGGUGUUGGUGCCCCACAGUGACAAAUCCACCUGGUUUGCAGAAUUGCCACUAAUCUGACAAACAUCACCCAAUACUCAGGACAACUUCAAAGCAGUUAGCUAAGGUGGUCCAGUCUCAUAGAUUACUCCAGUCAGGACUUCAGAUAAGGCUUCCAUUCUCACAUCACACCAAGACUGGACAACAGCUAAUUCCUCCAGAACUUGAUGUUUAUAUUGAUUAUUUUCAGUGUUCCUGAAAGAUGUCAUCUCCCCCAGAUAUUAGGAAGUAAUUUUUAAAAACAUACUCUCACAUCCCAAGAGGUAGGGUGGGUAGUUUUUGGUCAUUUGUUGGAUGUUUGUCAUCAUUUAGGGGUGUUGGUCACAAGUUGUUAUUGGUUAUGGUCAAGGAAGAAACUAAGCAAAGGAAAUUAGAUUCAAGGAUCUCAUUCUGAAAAGAAAAAAGGGGGGUUAUAGAAAUUAUAGGAUAAAAGGGUAGAUUAUUGAAUCUACUUUCAAACUAAAAAGCAACUACUAGUCUUAAAUAUUUUACAGUGGCAUGGAUUUUUAUAUAUUGAUAGAAAUAUAAGGUUAUUUUGUUAUAGUGUAUAUAUAUUUCUACUCUUGCUUAUGAUAUUUUUGUAUAUUGAUAUAAAUUUACAGUU
RNAcentral lists this long non-coding RNA (2318 nucleotides) under Cricetulus griseus (Chinese hamster). RNAcentral describes it as "lncRNA (ENSCGRG00015042914.1)". Lineage: Eukaryota; Metazoa; Chordata; Mammalia; Rodentia; Cricetidae. The record is from RNAcentral.